This 334-nucleotide long non-coding RNA is filed under the name Carica papaya (papaya). RNAcentral's name for it is "long non-coding RNA (CPAP_LNC010150)". The record is from RNAcentral. Lineage: Eukaryota; Viridiplantae; Streptophyta; Magnoliopsida; Brassicales; Caricaceae.
UUCUUUCUUGCUUCUUUCUCUCUCUAAAAAUCUCCUUUAUUUUCUCUUUUUAAAUUAGGUAAAUCAAAAAAGGAAAGUGGUGAGGAAAAAAUAAAGAAGGGAGGAGUUUAUAAAGGGGCAAAAAUGGUCAGUGAGAUAGAGUGAGAGAGUGUGUUUGGGGGCCCAUGAAUCAAAAUCAACAUGGCCAAGCAUGGCCUUGGCCGAGGGGACAAGCAGUCAUCCCGUCGGCUGUUAACGCGCAACAGUGUUGUAUGCAUGCACAGGCAGCCAUGCCCUGCACUAGGCGUGCGUAGGCUACCUACCUCGCAUAGGCACAACUAUGCUACACUCAGAU